UAGCUAAUUCUUAAAUGUUUGGCCUUCCU
RNAcentral lists this non-coding RNA (29 nucleotides) under Rattus norvegicus (Norway rat). Lineage: Eukaryota; Metazoa; Chordata; Mammalia; Rodentia; Muridae. The record is from RNAcentral.